RNAcentral lists this ribosomal RNA (484 nucleotides) under uncultured bacterium. Its description in RNAcentral is "partial 16S ribosomal RNA". It matches the Rfam family "Bacterial small subunit ribosomal RNA", at positions 30 to 507 of the family's 1533-position model. The record is from RNAcentral.
AUUGAACGCUGGCGGCAGGCCUAACACAUGCAAGUCGAGCGGAUGAAGGGAGCUUGCUCCUGGAUUCAGCGGCGGACGGGUGAGUAAUGCCUAGGAAUCUGCCUGGUAGUGGGGGAUAACGUCCGGAAACGGGCGCUAAUACCGCAUACGUCCUGAGGGAGAAAGUGGGGGAUCUUCGGACCUCACGCUAUCAGAUGAGCCUAGGUCGGAUUAGCUAGUGGGUAGGGUAAAGGCCUACCAAGGCGACGAUCCGUAACUGGCCUGAGAGGAUGAUCAGUCACACUGGAACUGAGACACGGUCCAGACUCCUACGGGAGGCAGCAGUGGGGAAUAUUGGACAAUGGGCGAAAGCCUGAUCCAGCCAUGCCGCGUGUGUGAAGAAGGUCUUCGGAUUGUAAAGCACUUUAAGUUGGGAGGAAGGGCAGUAAGUUAAUACCUUGCUGUUUUGACGUUACCAACAGAAUAAGCACCGGCUAACUUCAUG